GCCUGGAUAGCUCAGUUGGUUAGAGUAUGGUGCUGAUAACGCCAAGGUUGCGGGUUCGAUGGGACAGCUGAAUAUUCCUGCCUUGCAGGGGGUUAGACU
RNAcentral lists this transfer RNA (99 nucleotides) under Podarcis lilfordi (Lilford's wall lizard). RNAcentral describes it as "tRNA.Ile". Lineage: Eukaryota; Metazoa; Chordata; Lepidosauria; Squamata; Lacertidae. The record is from RNAcentral.